AGAUACCCCACUAUGCUUAGUCGUAAACCUAGAUGGCACCACAACCCGCUAUCCGCCAGAAAACUACGGACGAAAAGUCUAAAACUCAAAGGACUUGACGGUGCCCCAUACCGACCUAGAGGAGCCUGUCCCAUAAUCGAUACCCCCCGAUACACCCAACCAGUCCUUGCACUGCACAGCCUAUAUACCGCCGUCGCCAGCCCACCCUACAAAGGUCACACAACAGUGAGCACAAUAAUACUACAUUAAAACGUCAGGUCAAGGUGUAGCUAACGAACUGGCAGAGAUGGGCUACAUUUUCUACCAAAGAAAACAACGAACCGCACCAUGAAACUGUGCCACAAGGAGGAUUUAGCAGUAAGCAGGGCAAGGCUGCCCCACUGAAACCCGCCCUGGGGCGCGUACAC
Molecule: ribosomal RNA, 407 nt
Filed under: Cyrtodactylus khasiensis (Khasi Hills bent-toed gecko)
Lineage: Eukaryota; Metazoa; Chordata; Lepidosauria; Squamata; Gekkonidae
Description: partial 12S ribosomal RNA
Rfam family: Bacterial small subunit ribosomal RNA
Source: RNAcentral